Molecule: transfer RNA, 74 nt
Organism: Vulcanisaeta distributa DSM 14429
Lineage: Archaea; Thermoproteati; Thermoproteota; Thermoprotei; Thermoproteales; Thermoproteaceae
Rfam family: tRNA
About the family: Transfer RNA (tRNA) molecules are approximately 80 nucleotides in length. Their secondary structure includes four short double-helical elements and three loops (D, anti-codon, and T loops).
Source: Rfam
GGGCCCGUAGCUCAGCCAGGUAGAGCGGCGGGCUUUUAACCCGUAGGUCGUGGGUUCGAAUCCCACCGGGCCCG